GGAAGACUUGAACGGUUGAGGAUCCGUAACAAGGCACAAUGGCUAUACAGUUAUUCAUGUCAGUCGCCCUGUCUGAUGUUCUUGACACCAGUCUGACACCAGCCAUGACAAGCACUUUGUUCAACUGUGUGAUACAGUGUUACUCAAGCACUGGAUGUUCCUCCAUCUUCUACAACAAAGCGACUCACCAAUGUGCAGUGUCAUCGCACGUAUAUCGAGAAGGCGACAGUGUUCUAGCAUCUUCCACGGGAAUGAAGCUGUACACUUGGAACCAAGCUGGAUGUCCGUUAUCAGCUGGCUGGAUUUACCACCGUCCCUCAAAUCUCUGCUACAAGCGCAAUGAUUACAAGGUGGACAUAACUACGGCAGAGACUGCGUGCAGAGAUGCUGGAGCAAGACUUGUUGUCGUGGACACCGCCGAGAAGAACGCUCAUCUCCUAACAUUA
Molecule: long non-coding RNA, 446 nt
Organism: Haliotis rufescens (red abalone)
Lineage: Eukaryota; Metazoa; Mollusca; Gastropoda; Lepetellida; Haliotidae
Exons: 3
Source: RefSeq, a predicted model, not a curated record